AUGGAACCAGCAACGGCAGCAGCAGCUUGUCCUCGGUUGCUCGUGUCCCUCCUCCUCGUCCUAUCAUGCUUCGUGUCACCCGAGCUCGUCCAUGGCCAGCCCGACGCCCUCGGCUUCAUCAGCAUCGACUGCGGGAUCGCCGACGGCCCGAGCUACCCCGACGAGUCCACGCGCGGCCUGAGGUACGUCUCGGACGCCGGCUUCGUCGACGCCGGCGCGGGGGCCAACGCCGGCAUCAACCCGCCGUACAGCGACCGGGAACUGGCGGCGCGGUACCUCACCGUACGCCACUUCUCCGGUGGUGCUGCCCGCAGCUGCUACACGCUCCGGGGGCUCUCGCCGGGAGGCAGGUACCUCGUCAGGUCCAGCUUCUACUACGGCAACUACGACGCGCUCAACAGGCUCCCGUCCUUCCACCUCUACCUCGGGGUCAACCGCUGGGCCGCCGUCAACGUCACCGCGCCCGAUGACAUAUUGAUCUUCGAGGCCGUCGUCGUGUCCCCGGCUGAUUUCUUUCAGGUGUGCCUGGUGGACAUAGGGCAGGGUACGCCCUUCAUCUCCGGGCUUGACCUGAGGCCGCUCAGGGCGGCCAUGUACCCGGAGGCCACCGUGAACCAGUCGCUGCUCCUGCUCAAUCUUCGCCGGCCGGCGGCCAGAUUCGCCUUGAACCGCUACCAUUUCUGGCGGCCGGCUAGUUUCUAUAAGAUAUACAGGUACCCAUUUGAUUCCUACGACCGCAUCUGGCAGUCUUACGGCGAUAUCGCCGCGUGGACCAACAUAACGACGACGGCCAACGUUGACGUCUCCAAGGCCAGCAGCUUCGACGCGCCGCCUGUGGUGCUGCGGAGCGCCGCCACUCCGGUGAACGGAACCCGGCUCGAAUUCUCAUGGAGCCCGGACACCUCCCAGAACAAUGACAGCAGCAGCGCAGCCUACCUCCUGCUGCUCUACUUCGCGGAGCUGCAGCAGCUGCCGGGCAACGUGCUGAGGCGGUUCGACAUCCUCGUUGACGGCGCCUCAUGGAACGGCAGCCGGAGUUACACCCCGAAGUACCUCUCCGCAGAGGUUGUGGAACAGGUGGUGGUGCAGGGGUCAGGCCAGCACACCGUCUCGCUUGUCGCCACGCCGGAUGCCAUACUCCCGCCCAUCCUGAACGCGUUCGAGAUAUACUCACUGCGGCAGAUGACUGAGCUUGCGACGAACAAUGGAGACGCCAAGGCCAUGAUGGGAAUUCGCACGACGUACAUGCUGAAGAAAAACUGGAUGGGUGAUCCUUGUGCGCCGAAAGCAUUUGCCUGGAAUGGCCUGAACUGCAGUUAUUCUUCAUCUGGUCCUGCAUGGAUAACAGCUCUAAUAUUGUCAUCUAGUUUGUUGACCGGUGCAGUUGAUCCUUCUUUCGGUGAUCUAAAAUCCCUUCAAUACCUGGACUUGUCCAAUAACAGCCUGUCUGGUCCAAUACCUGAUUUUCUGGCACAAAUGCCAUCACUUAAAUUCCUUGAUUUGUCAAGCAACAAACUCAGUGGAUCAAUUCCUGCAGCUCUAGUACGGAAGCGUCAAAAUGGAUCCCUUGUAUUAAUGAUUGGUAACAAUGCAAAUAUCUGUGACAAUGGUGCUUCUACAUGUGCUCCAAACGACAAGCAAAAGAACAGAACACUCAUCAUUGCGAUAGCCGUUCCAAUAGCUGUAGCUACUCUACUGUUUGUCGCAGCAAUUAUUAUCCUUCAUAGAAGGAGAAUUAAACAAGAUACAUGGAUGGCAAAUAGCGCAAGGCUUAAUAGCCCCAGGGACAGGGAGAGGUCGAACUUGUUUGAGAACAGACAGUUCAGCUACAAAGAGCUGAAGCUCAUCACAGCUAACUUCAAGGAAGAAAUAGGGCGAGGAGGAUUUGGUGCUGUGUUUCUAGGCUAUUUGGAGAAUGGAAGUCCAGUUGCUGUGAAGAUCCGUUCAAAAACAUCAUCUCAAGGGGACAGGGAGUUUCUAUCUGAGGCUCAACACUUGAGUCGAGUUCACCACAGGAACCUGGUUUCCUUGAUUGGUUAUUGCAAGGACAAGAAACAACUGGCCCUUGUCUAUGAAUAUAUGCAUGGUGGAGACCUAGAGGAUCGUCUAAGAGGAGAGGUCUCUGUCGCUACGCCCCUCAGUUGGCAUCGACGUCUCAAGAUUGCUCUCGACUCUGCCCAUGGAUUGGAAUAUCUACAUAAGUCCUGCCAACCGCCACUGAUCCAUAGGGAUGUGAAGACAAAGAACAUCCUGCUAUCUGCUGACCUAGAUGCAAAGAUAUCCGACUUUGGCCUGACCAAGGUGUUCGCAGAUGAGUUCAUGACCCAUAUUACUACCCAACCAGCAGGCACCCUGGGGUAUCUUGACCCUGAGUACUAUAAUACAUCCCGGCUCAGUGAGAAGAGUGACGUGUAUAGCUUUGGAGUUGUACUACUGGAGCUUAUAACCGGUCAGUCGCCGGCGGUCGCCAUUACUGACACUGAGAGCAUCCAUAUAGCACAGUGGGUGCGCCAGAAGCUCUCCGAGGGCAACAUUGAGAGCAUUGCUGACUCAAAGAUGGGAAGGGAGUACGAUGUCAACUCGGUCUGGAAGGUUACAGAGCUGGCACUGCAGUGCAAAGAACAACCAUCACGGGAACGACCAACAAUGACAGAUGUUGUGGCUGAGCUCAAGGAAUGCUUGGAGCUGGAGGUGUCUCGUGGAAUGGGUAAUUACAACUCAGUCACUAGCGGCACAAGUAAUCUCAGUGCAACAAGCACUGACUCGCACAACGAUGCUCAAGCAAAUGAUCUGAAACAGCAAAGUGUGCUUGAGUUGGGGCAGGUUGGCGAUGCAUCGCCAACUCACAUAGGUCCGGCACCAAGAUGA
This 2868-nucleotide ribosomal RNA is filed under the name Triticum aestivum (bread wheat). RNAcentral describes it as "partial small subunit ribosomal RNA". The record is from RNAcentral. Lineage: Eukaryota; Viridiplantae; Streptophyta; Magnoliopsida; Poales; Poaceae.